AAAAUGGAAAUAAAGAUAGAUAUGUUAGGGCUGUGGCAAGGAAUGGGUGCAAGACUAAUGGUAUGUCAAUCAAUGGGAAGUUUAGGAGAGGUGAUUUGUACACUGGAAGGAAGAAGGAUGAUGUGGAUUCGUUGGCAAUGGAAGUUAGUUCAGAUUCUGAGAGUGGCUAAAUGGGGCAUGGAUAAGAAGAAAAGAAGCAGAAAUGGUGGUGAAUUUAGGAAG
This 222-nucleotide unclassified non-coding RNA is filed under the name Hevea brasiliensis (rubber tree). Lineage: Eukaryota; Viridiplantae; Streptophyta; Magnoliopsida; Malpighiales; Euphorbiaceae. The record is from RNAcentral.